This is a non-coding RNA of Pelobates cultripes (western spadefoot toad), 327 nucleotides long. NCBI's taxonomy places the organism in Eukaryota, Metazoa, Chordata, Amphibia, Anura, Pelobatidae. The record is from the annotation of a GenBank genome assembly.
GACCUUUCUUACGAGUGAAUGAUGAAUUGCAUGUUUUUUUACAUGAGAUUUUCUCGCUCUCAAUAAAAUCUGGUGGAAUCAUUGCAUAGCAUUUCAAUAUCUUCUUGUGGUUUCAAUUUUGUUUCCAAUUUUAUUUCAGAGACAUUCACAUCCACACUAAUAUUUUAAAGUGGAAUUUAUUGUCCAGAGUUAGAUCGUGUUUGGCCUAAACAAGAUGGCAGAUGGCCUGGGAUACCAUAUUAUCAAAUGGGGUACUAUGAUUCUCUGGUCAUGUGUCCAGUUAAAGGCAAAUCCUUUGGGAUUGACAGUUUCAGCAAUGGAUUUAAG